CCUACGGGAGGCAGCAGUGAGGAAUUUUCCGCAAUGGGCGAAAGCCUGACGGAGCAAUACCGCGUGAGGGAUGAAGGAUUUUGGUCUGUAAACCUCUUUUCUCAAGAAAGAAGUUCUGACGGUACUUGAGGAAUAAGCAUCGGCUAACUCCGUGCCAGCAGCCGCGGUAAUACGGGGGAUGCAAGCGUUAUCCGGAAUGAUUGGGCGUAAAGCGCCUGUAGGUUGUUUAUUAAGUCCGUUGUUAAAGCCUAGGGCUCAACCCUAGAAAAGCAAUGGAA
This 278-nucleotide ribosomal RNA is filed under the name uncultured bacterium. RNAcentral's name for it is "partial 16S ribosomal RNA". It matches the Rfam family "Bacterial small subunit ribosomal RNA", at positions 338 to 631 of the family's 1533-position model. The record is from RNAcentral.